UUCUGGCUCAGGAUGAACGCUGGCGGCAGGCUUAAUACAUGCAAGUCGAACGGUAAGGUCCGAAGUGGCAACACGGAGGAUACACGAGUGGCGCACGGGUGCGUAACGCGUAUGCAACCUGCCCCCGACCGGGACAAAACAGCUGGAAACGGCUGCUAAUAUCCCAUGGUCAUGCGGAAGGGCAUCCUUCUUCAUGUAAAGAUUCAUUGGUCGGGGAUGGGCAUGCGUAUUAUUAGGUAGUUGGCGGGGUAACGGCCCACCAAGCCGACGAUGAUUAGGGGUCCUGAGAGGGUUAACCCCCACACUGGAACUGAGACACGGUCCAGACUCCUACGGGAGGCAGCAGUAGGGAAUAUUGGGCAAUGGGAGCAAUCCUGACCCAGCCAUGCCGCGUGAAGGAAGACGGCCCUAUGGGUUGUAAACUUCUUUUGCCGCAGAGUAAACCCGGUCACGAGUGGUCGGUUGAGAGUAUGCGGCGAAUAAGUAUCGGCUAACUCCGUGCCAGCAGCAGC
This 512-nucleotide ribosomal RNA is filed under the name uncultured bacterium. RNAcentral describes it as "bacterial SSU rRNA". It matches the Rfam family "Bacterial small subunit ribosomal RNA", at positions 17 to 518 of the family's 1533-position model. The record is from RNAcentral.